RNAcentral lists this ribosomal RNA (497 nucleotides) under uncultured bacterium. Its description in RNAcentral is "partial 16S ribosomal RNA". It matches the Rfam family "Bacterial small subunit ribosomal RNA", at positions 28 to 507 of the family's 1533-position model. The record is from RNAcentral.
GAUGAACGCUGGCGGCGUGCCUAAUACAUGCAAGUCGAGCGAACGGACGAGAAGCUUGCUUCUCUGAUGUUAGCGGCGGACGGGUGAGUAACACGUGGAUAACCUACCUAUAAGACUGGGAUAACUUCGGGAAACCGGAGCUAAUACCGGAUAAUAUUUUGAACCGCAUGGUUCAAAAGUGAAAGACGGUCUUGCUGUCACUUAUAGAUGGAUCCGCGCUGCAUUAGCUAGUUGGUAAGGUAACGGCUUACCAAGGCAACGAUGCAUAGCCGACCUGAGAGGGUGAUCGGCCACACUGGAACUGAGACACGGCACAGACUCCUACGGGAGGCAGCAGUAGGGAAUCUUCCGCAAUGGGCGAAAGCCUGACGGAGCAACGCCGCGUGAGUGAUGAAGGUCUUCGGAUCGUAAAACUCUGUUAUUAGGGAAGAACAUAUGUGUAAGUAACUGUGCACAUCUUGGCGGUACCUAAUCAGAAAGCCACGGCUAACUACGUG